UCAGGCAGCUGCAGCCUCGCGGCCCCCGCCGCAGCCUGGACCUUGGGAACCAGCAGCCCAGAGCCAGGAAGCCUCAGCAUUCAGGGCCGACAGAACCCAAAAUCCCACAUCAGAGGCAGGGAAGGAUGGUGCGAGGAGCAGCCCAGGACCCACACGCCAGGGCCAGCGCCGGUUCCCAGUGGGUGCCUCCUUCCAAGGCUGGAGAGGGAGGCAGAAUGGAGGGCUUCCCAGGUCGGAGCAACCCUACAGGCCGGGCAGGUGGAGGGAAGGGUGCAGGUCACGUUCUGGAGACCUCCCCUCGGCCUGGAACUGGUUUCUCCUCUGCCUCUCCGCCUGUGGGUGUCCCUGUGCUCUGGUAACACCCCAGGCACCAGCUGUGCCCUCACCAAGGUGCCUGCCCGCCCCUUCCUUCUACCAUCCCCAUCAGCGGGGCUGCUUCAGAGCCACGGCCCUUCUGGGGCUACAGGGGAGGAUGCACCCACAGCAUGCUCUGCACUGAGGAGCAGGCAGUGGGUGCUGAUGCCACCUGUCCUGCCGACAGCUCCUCACCCAGCAAGGCUGACCCAGCCCCGGGUGAAAGAGGGGCGACUGAGGUAGAUUGGGGUGAGGCUGCACCUUCACCCAUGCCUGCCCACAGCAUGGCCCCUCCACUUCCUGCACGAGUGCUGGGAACUGCUUUUCAUGGAGCCCCACGGAUAUGACCAGCCCGGUGCUGGGAGAGGACGGCCUGGGUGGUGUGUGUCUGCAGACACGAAGAUCUAGGCACGGGGCCCA
Rhinopithecus roxellana (golden snub-nosed monkey) is the source of this 774-nucleotide RNA transcript. RefSeq lists it as uncharacterized. The transcript has a single exon. The record is from RefSeq and is a predicted model, not a curated record. Lineage: Eukaryota; Metazoa; Chordata; Mammalia; Primates; Cercopithecidae.